AUUACAAUUAUGCAUUUGACAGAGUUUUUAUCCAAAGCAACUAGUCAUACAUUCCCUUCAUGUAUUAAAAUCACAGCUUGACUGGGAAAAUAUAUAUACAUAUAUAUUUUAUAUAUAGAAAAAAAAGUAUGGCUGUAUUUACUUAACCACUUUCAGUAAUGUCACAUACAGCAAUAUAAAAGUAUGCUUUUGUCUCAUAAUAAGAUUUAAAUAUGUACAUCAAAUAGAAAGAAAUGGCAGAACAAUAUACAAAUACAGUCAUCAUAUCUCACAGUAAUACUGUAACAGCAGAAACACAGAAUCAGUCCAGUGGGAGAUUUUAACCAGAGUCCAGUGUUAAACAUCAAAUACUGACCGUGUUUAUACAGAAAAACAUUUAGGAACAUUCUUUGCAUUUUUGCAGCGAUUUUUGUUAUGUAUCUGUUGCUUCAUUUAAUCAACUUAAGCAUACCUCAUCUGUGAAAUCAAUCCAGUGUAGAACAGAACAUUUUAUAAAAACCUUGCUAAAGGAAAUGGAUUCUGAAAACAUAAAACUCUUGACUUUUUGGGUAUAUUAGCAAGGCACACAUAUAUUCCAAAACAUGCCUCUAUUUUAAAAGGCCUUUUUGACACAAAACACUAUGGACAGUAUGCCGACUUUGUGUUUGAAAUAUCUCUCUCUUUUUCUGUACACUCAGUAAUAAAAUAUCAAAUUUUCAAGGAUAUCACACUCUUAUAAAUGUUGGCAUAAAUAGAUCCUUUUCAUUACACAUGAGGGGGGAAAUGUUCAUAAUGGUCACAAUUUUGUAUCUUAUCAGUAUAUUUACACCUUUAUCCACAUGCUAAAGUACCAUUACUUAAAGCCUGAUGCUGUGAAUCAUGGCCUGAUAUCUCUGAUUAAUGAUUUAAUAAUCCAUUGUUCUCAUUGGAACAGAGAAUAAGGAAAACGUUUCACAUGAAAAAAGCCAAAACACAUCACAAACUGAACACUUAUAGCCUCUACUUGGACAAAAAGCCUUCAUUGUUACCAGUAACCCCAAAUUUUGUGCUUUCCUGCCACUGGAAUUACUGUCACAGUUGUAUAAAACACAAUAAUUAGACCCCAUAUGGCAGAAAAUAUAUAUCAUAUAUAAUUUUUCUGCCCAAAAUAUGUUUUGAAUAUAUGCUAUAUAUAUGUUGUAAACAGUGAAUUGCAAUUAAGUAUC
Molecule: long non-coding RNA, 1184 nt
Organism: Cyprinus carpio carpio
Lineage: Eukaryota; Metazoa; Chordata; Actinopteri; Cypriniformes; Cyprinidae
Source: Ensembl